Long non-coding RNA from Gavialis gangeticus (Gharial), 1593 nucleotides. RefSeq lists it as uncharacterized. The transcript is spliced from 2 exons. Lineage: Eukaryota; Metazoa; Chordata; Crocodylia; Gavialidae. The record is from RefSeq and is a predicted model, not a curated record.
AUAAGAGGAUAGUUUUCAAGCCCUAGCUCAAUCAGACACAAAUAUCCCCAUGGACUACAAAAUUAAGAAAACGUGUAAUCAAACAAAUUUAAAACAACGCAGCCCUUGCCAGGUUGAUUAUGUUGAUCAGCACAGAGGUAUAGGACGCACAAGCUAUGCUUGUAUAUCUUUGAACAGUCCCAUUCCAUUUGAAAUGCUCUAGAUCAUUUUUGAUGAAUUGAGCUCUAAAGCAUAUUUUAAAGGAAUUUGUAGAAUGUAAAUGUAUCAUGUCUGUAGAAUCUUCCUGGAAGCUUCAAAGUUCAGCCAACUAAAUUUUAAAAGUGAAGUAUCUUGUACUCUGGUAAUUUUUUUAUCUAUAUUUGAUAUAAAGUUGUAAAAACCCAUUUAAGAGGCACUGUAUACUUCUGUUAUUGUUAUACACUUUGUAGUCAUUGUGAAUAAUGAGUAAAUUAACAUCAAAUGAGUUCUUUGUAAUUAAAACAUAUUUCUAGCCCCACCAAAACUUUAAGCAUGAAUCAGAGGAAUCCUUAAUGAACCAUAAGCUUAAACAAUAUGGUGAAUGAUUAUGCAAAAUUAUGUAUAACUUUUUUAAUAGAUGCAUCGCAGCAUUUCUUCUGCAAUACAACCUGUUUGGAAGGUUGCAAUAAGUGCUAACCUAUUCUUUUCCCUAAGAAUUAUUUGUGGAGCUGAAUUUUUCUCUGCAUUGGUACAAAUACAGGUACUACUGUCAUCUACAGAAAUUCCAAUUCAAAAUAACUUAGUAAUACUGUGUUUAUCCAAGCUUCGUAUGGAUGUGACUAAUGCAUCCAUUGAGUGUCCCAUUGUGUUCAGAGGGGCUCUACACAAGCAUGUGGACUCCCUGCAUUUCAAUUCAGGGGACAGGGUUUUAAAGAGAUGCCUUGAGCACUUGUGACCUUUCAUAAGUGAGCAUAAAAAGUGUAAACUAAUAGCACAUUAAUCAGUUGUGCCAACUUUAAGGAUUUAGGGCCCAGUUCUGCUAAGAUUCAACUUCCAUUGAUGCUAAACACUGAUGCUCAGUACCUUGCAGAUCAGGUGGCUUUAAGUAAAUUGAAGCAUGCUGGCUGGAAAGACACCCAAGUGUAGGUGCCAUAUAAGAGCCAGGUUCAGUAGAUACUGAGUCUGUCAGACUCUGCCAUUGGUGUCCUAACGUGGAAGAUAUGUAUUUGCGUAAGACCUAUAGGAUCAGAACCUUUGUCUUUCAAGAAAGGUAACAGGUGCUUUCUCCUUCAAAGUAAAAUAGGGACAGUAGAUGCAAAUAAUGUAAAAACGGUGUUCAGGUGUCACCGCUGAAAUGUGUGUGAACCCUUCUAGAUGUUCAGGUGUGAUAGGAACUGAUGCACAGCUGUGGGAUCCAGUAUUAGAUCCCAUCACACCUUAUUGCUGGUGCAGGGGGAGCCUGGUAUGGUGAUCCUGGGCUCCCUCUGCACUGGUAGGUAGCAAAUUCCCUCAGCUGCAAAUCCUGUAGCUGAUGAGACUCCCAGCCGGGCAGUGGGUGGUGCACCCCACCUGCAGGGGCCACAGGGGAAUAGCUGCCUUGCUACACAUGCAAAUUAAAGCUGGAUAGAAACCACC